AUUGAACGCUGGCGGCAGGCCUAACACAUGCAAGUCGAACGAGUGGCGGACGGGUGAGUAAUGUCUGGGAAACUGCCUGAUGGAGGGGGAUAACUACUGGAAACGGUAGCUAAUACCGCAUACUAUUCGAUGUGCCCAGGUGGGAUUAGCUGGUUGGUGGGGUAAAGGCCCACCAAGGCGACGAUCCCUAGCUGGUCUGUGAGGAUGACCAGCCACACUGGGACUGAGACACGGCCCAGACUCCUACGGGAGGCAGCAGUGGGGAAUAUUGAACAAUGGGCGCAAGCCUGAUGCAGCCAUGCCGCGUGUAUGAAGAAGGCCUUCGGGUUGUAAAGGACUUUCAGCAGGGAAGCGUUACCCGCAGAAGAAGCACCGGCUAACUCCGUGCCAGCAGCCGCGGUAAUAC
Molecule: ribosomal RNA, 406 nt
Filed under: uncultured bacterium
Lineage: Bacteria
Description: partial 16S ribosomal RNA
Rfam family: Bacterial small subunit ribosomal RNA
Source: RNAcentral